AGCAAGCAUGGGAUACGUGAUGAGGUGCGGAUGGUGAGCAAGAUGGAUCUUGGUGCAAUCUUAAAAUGAAUCCAAAUAUGUGAAACUGGAAUUCUCUGGAAAAUCUAGGCAGAGUGACAACAACAACAACAACAACAACAACAACAACAACAAAAGCGGCCAAGGGGAAUGGACAUACCAACAAAUAGACUGAGAGACUAUGAAGAAGUAUUAUCUGUUACCAUUUCACCAUUUUUCCACAAUGAGUUUAAAUUUUGCACCUGAACCAAGAACCAAGAAUAGCAAUGUGUCCUUUUCCUCUACAAAACUAUAUUUGGUCUAAUCUAUUCUCUGAAAGGAAGUAACCAUUGGAAAAUCAAAAUAAAAUUAAGGGACUUUAAAUUCAUUUGGGUUUCUCCUGAUUUCAGGAGCUGUACAGCAAGUAAAAGGAUAAGGAUAAUCCUAUAUAAUGUCAUUUCAGAGUGUGAUUUCAAGUACCAUUCUUCCAAAACGUCUUCCUCUGCUAAACUGCUAAUUCCCAAAUAUCUGUCAUUCAUUAACUCAAAAGACACCUGUGUCUACCAUGUGCCAGGCACUAGUAGUGGAAGAUGGUACAGGAGAAAGUACGGGAAAGGCGAAUGAAAAAAGGAUAUCACCAAGAGAAGAAAAGGUUCAGACAGGAGAAACAGAUUUUUCUGUUUCUCAAGUGUGAUGCUAAUGUCACUGUUAAUAUGUUUGAUUUAUAGCUCCAAUUAGCUAGUUCAGUAUAGGUGAUUGGAGCUUUUGACCAACUAGU
This 775-nucleotide long non-coding RNA is filed under the name Homo sapiens (human). RNAcentral describes it as "HSALNT0284145". The record is from RNAcentral. Lineage: Eukaryota; Metazoa; Chordata; Mammalia; Primates; Hominidae.